This 449-nucleotide ribosomal RNA is filed under the name uncultured bacterium. Its description in RNAcentral is "partial 16S ribosomal RNA". It matches the Rfam family "Bacterial small subunit ribosomal RNA", at positions 29 to 523 of the family's 1533-position model. The record is from RNAcentral.
AGCGAACGCUGGCGGCAGGCCUAACACAUGCAAGUCGAACGGACCUUUCGGGGUUAGUGGCGGACGGGUGGGUAACACGUGGGAACGUGCCUUUAGGUUCGGAAUAGCUCAUGGAAACGGGUGGUAAUGCCGAAUGUGCCCUUAGGGGGAACGGUUUAUCGCCUUUAGGGCGGGCCGCGUGUGAUUAGCUAGUUGGUGAGGUAAUGGCUCACCAAGGCUACGAUCAGUAGAUGGUCUGAGAGGAUGACCAGCCACAUUGGGACUGAGACACGGCCCAAACUCCUACGGGAGGCAGCAGUGGGGAAUCUUGCGCAAUGGGCGAAAGCCUGACGCAGCCAUGCCGCGUGGAUGAUGAAGGUCUUAGGAUUGUAAAAUCCUUUCACCGGUGAAGAUAAUGACUGUAGCCGGAGAAGAAGCCCCGGCUAACUUCGUGCCAGCCGCCGCUGUAA